RNAcentral lists this ribosomal RNA (691 nucleotides) under Streptomyces sp. JC505. RNAcentral describes it as "bacterial SSU rRNA". It matches the Rfam family "Bacterial small subunit ribosomal RNA", at positions 69 to 777 of the family's 1533-position model. The record is from RNAcentral. Lineage: Bacteria; Bacillati; Actinomycetota; Actinomycetes; Kitasatosporales; Streptomycetaceae.
AUGAAGCCCUUCGGGGUGGAUUAGUGGCGAACGGGUGAGUAACACGUGGGCAAUCUGCCCUUCACUCUGGGACAAGCCCUGGAAACGGGGUCUAAUACCGGAUAAUACUCCUGCCUGCAUGGGCGGGGGUUGAAAGCUCCGGCGGUGAAGGAUGAGCCCGCGGCCUAUCAGCUUGUUGGUGGGGUAAUGGCCCACCAAGGCGACGACGGGUAGCCGGCCUGAGAGGGCGACCGGCCACACUGGGACUGAGACACGGCCCAGACUCCUACGGGAGGCAGCAGUGGGGAAUAUUGCACAAUGGGCGAAAGCCUGAUGCAGCGACGCCGCGUGAGGGAUGACGGCCUUCGGGUUGUAAACCUCUUUCAGCAGGGAAGAAGCGAAAGUGACGGUACCUGCAGAAGAAGCGCCGGCUAACUACGUGCCAGCAGCCGCGGUAAUACGUAGGGCGCAAGCGUUGUCCGGAAUUAUUGGGCGUAAAGAGCUCGUAGGCGGCUUGUCACGUCGGAUGUGAAAGCCCGAGGCUUAACCUCGGGUCUGCAUUCGAUACGGGCUAGCUAGAGUGUGGUAGGGGAGAUCGGAAUUCCUGGUGUAGCGGUGAAAUGCGCAGAUAUCAGGAGGAACACCGGUGGCGAAGGCGGAUCUCUGGGCCAUUACUGACGCUGAGGAGCGAAAGCGUGGGGAGCGAACAGGA